CAGUCGCCGCGGGAAAACGAAGGGGGCUAGCGUUGUUCGGAAUUACUGGGCGUAAAGCGCACGUAGGCGGAUAUUUAAGUCAGGGGUGAAAUCCCAGAGCUCAACUCUGGAACUGCCUUUGAUACUGGGUAUCUUGAGUAUGGAAGAGGUGAGUGGAAUUCCGAGUGUAGAGGCGAAAUUCGUAGAUAUUCGGAGGAACACCAGUGGCGAAGGCGGCUCACUGGUCCAUUACUGACGCUGAGGUGCGAAAGCGUGGGGAGCAAACAGGAUUAGAUACCCGCGUAGUCCCUGUCUCUUAUAC
RNAcentral lists this ribosomal RNA (301 nucleotides) under uncultured bacterium. Its description in RNAcentral is "partial 16S ribosomal RNA". It matches the Rfam family "Bacterial small subunit ribosomal RNA", at positions 509 to 807 of the family's 1533-position model. The record is from RNAcentral.